AUUGUGUGAAUACAUAGCACAUUCGAGGUAGACGCAGAGAACUGAAACAUCUAAGUACCUGCAGGAAGAGAAAGAAAAUUCGAUUCCCUGAGUAGCGGCGAGCGAAACGGGAAAAGCCCAAACCAGCAAGCUUGCUUGUUGGGGUUGUAGGACUCCAAUAUGGUAGUUCUUUCAGAUAGUCGAAUGACUUGGAAAAGUCAGUCAAAGAGGGUAAAAACCCCGUAGACGAAAUGUGGAAGACACCUAGGAGGAUCCUGAGUACGGCGGAACACGAGAAAUUCCGUCGGAAUCCGGGAGGACCAUCUCCCAAGGCUAAAUACUCCCUAGUGACCGAUAGUGAACCAGUACCGUGAGGGAAAGGUGAAAAGCACCCCGGAAGGGGAGUGAAAUAGAACCUGAAACCGUGUGCCUACAACAAGUCAAAGCCCGUUAAUGGGUGAUGGCGUGCCUUUUGUAGAAUGAACCGGCGAGUUACGAUUGCAUGCGAGGUUAAGUUGAAGAGACGGAGCCGCAGCGAAAGCGAGUCUGAAUAGGGCGUUUGAGUAUGUAGUCGUAGACCCGAAACCAUGUGAUCUACCCAUGUCCAGG
This 588-nucleotide ribosomal RNA is filed under the name Enterococcus faecium. RNAcentral describes it as "partial 23S ribosomal RNA". It matches the Rfam family "Bacterial large subunit ribosomal RNA", at positions 153 to 744 of the family's 2925-position model. Lineage: Bacteria; Bacillati; Bacillota; Bacilli; Lactobacillales; Enterococcaceae. The record is from RNAcentral.